GGGGCGGGCAGGGCUACACAUGCAAGUCGAGCGGAUGAGUGGAGCUUGCUCCCUGAUUCAGCGGCGGACGGGUGAGUAAUGCCUAGGAAUCUGGGGGACAACGUUUCGAAAGGAACGCUAAUACCGCAUACGUCCUACGGGAGAAAGUGGGGGAUGGACCUCACGCUAUCAGAUGAGCCUAGGUCGGAUUAGCUAGUUGGUGAGGUAAAGGCUCACCAAGGCGACGAUCCGUAACUGGUCUGAGAGGAUGAUCAGUCACACUGGAACUGAGACACGGUCCAGACUCCUACGGGAGGCAGCAGUGGGGAAUAUUGGACAAUGGGCGAAAGCCUGAUCCAGCCAUGCCGCGUGUGUGAAGAAGGUCUUCGGAUUGUAAAGCACUUUAAGUUGGGAGGAAGGGCAGUAAGUUAAUACCUUGCUGUUUUGACGUUACCAACAGAAUAAGCACCGGCUAACUUCGUGCCAGCAGCCGCGGUAAUACGAAGGGUGCAAGCGUUAAUCGGAAUUACUGGGCGUAAAGCGCGCGUAGGUGGUUCGUUAAGUUGGAUGUGAAAGCCCCGGGCUCAACCUGGGAACUGCAUCCAAAACUGGCGAGCUAGAGUAUGGCAGAGGGUGGUGGAAUUUCCUGUGUAGCGGUGAAAUGCGUACAUAUAGGAAGGAACACCAGUGGCGAAGGCGACCACCUGGGCUAAUACUGACACUGAGGUGCGAAAGCGUGGGGAGUAAACACGAUUAGAUACCCUGGUAGUCCACGCCGUAAACGAUGUCGACUAACCGUUGGGCAUCCUUCCCGCAGCCUCAGCAUUACGUCAACCGCCAGGUGAGGACGGCCGCCACCGCUGAUACACACAUGAGUUGACGAUGGCCCGCACAAGCACACAGGAUGUGCUUUAUUCCU
This 898-nucleotide ribosomal RNA is filed under the name Stutzerimonas stutzeri. RNAcentral describes it as "bacterial SSU rRNA". It matches the Rfam family "Bacterial small subunit ribosomal RNA", at positions 39 to 953 of the family's 1533-position model. Lineage: Bacteria; Pseudomonadati; Pseudomonadota; Gammaproteobacteria; Pseudomonadales; Pseudomonadaceae. The record is from RNAcentral.